GAUGAACGCUGGCGGCGUGCCUAAUACAUGCAAGUCGAGCGAACGGACGAGAAGCUUGCUUCUCUGAUGUUAGCGGCGGACGGGUGAGUAACACGUGGAUAACCUACCUAUAAGACUGGGAUAACUUCGGGAAACCGGAGCUAAUACCGGAUAAUAUUUUGAACCGCAUGGUUCAAAAGUGAAAGACGGUCUUGCUGUCACUUAUAGAUGGAUCCGCGCUGCAUUAGCUAGUUGGUAAGGUAACGGCUUACCAAGGCAACGAUGCAUAGCCGACCUGAGAGGGGGGUAGCCACAACGGGACAGGGGACAGGGACAAAAGUACUAGGGGGGGAGGAAGAGGGGAUUGUUCGGAAAGGGGGAAAAGCCGGAGGAAGAAACGCGGGGGGAGGGAGAAAGGUGUUGGAAUAGAAAAACUGUGUUAUAGGGGAAAAAAAUAUGUGAAAGAAAUGGGGAAAAUCUUGAGGGAACAUAAUAAAAAAGCCACGGAAAACAAGGUG
Molecule: ribosomal RNA, 497 nt
Filed under: uncultured bacterium
Lineage: Bacteria
Description: partial 16S ribosomal RNA
Rfam family: Bacterial small subunit ribosomal RNA
Source: RNAcentral